Molecule: ribosomal RNA, 439 nt
Filed under: uncultured bacterium
Lineage: Bacteria
Description: partial 16S ribosomal RNA
Rfam family: Bacterial small subunit ribosomal RNA
Source: RNAcentral
CUACGGGGCGCUCCAGUGGGGAAUAUUGCACAAUGGGGGGAACCCUGAUGCGGCAACGCCGCGUGGAGGAUGACGCAUUUCGGUGUGUAAACUCCUUUUAUAUGUCAAGAAAAUGACGGUAGCAUAUGAAUAAGCACCGGCUAACUCCGUGCCAGCAGCCGCGGUAAUACGGAGGGUGCAAGCGUUACUCGGAAUCACUGGGCGUAAAGGACGCGUAGGCGGGUUGGAAAGUCAGGUGUGAAAUCCUACAGCUUAACUGUAGAACUGCACUUGAAACUUCUAAUCUAGAGUAUGGGAGGGGGAGAUGGAAUUAGUGGUGUAGGGGUAACAUCCGUAGAUAUCACUAGGAAUACCUAAAGCGAAGGCGAUCUCCUGGAACAUUACUGACGCUAAGGCGUGAAAGCGUGGGGAGCAAACAGGAUUAGAUACCCCAGUAGUC